GAUGAACGCUAGCGGCAGGCUUAAUACAUGCAAGUCGAGGGGCAGCGGGAGUAGCAAUACUUGCCGGCGACCGGCGCACGGGUGCGUAACACGUAUGUAAUCUGCCCAUCACAGGAGGAUAGCCCGGAGAAAUUCGGAUUAAUACUCCAUAAUAGAAGAUAAAGCAUUUUAUUUCUUGAAAGUUCCGACGGUGAUGGAUGAACAUGCGACUGAUUAGUUUGUUGGUGAGGUAACGGCUCACCAAGACUACGAUCAGUAGGGGUACUGAGAGGUUAAAUCCCCACACUGGUACUGAGACAUGGACCAGACUCCUACGGGAGGCAGCAGUAAGGAAUAUUGGACAAUGGCCGCAAAGGCUGAUCCAGCCAUGCCGCGUGCAGGAAGACGGACCGUAUGGUUUGUAAACUGC
This 409-nucleotide ribosomal RNA is filed under the name uncultured bacterium. RNAcentral describes it as "bacterial SSU rRNA". It matches the Rfam family "Bacterial small subunit ribosomal RNA", at positions 28 to 433 of the family's 1533-position model. The record is from RNAcentral.